GUAAGAGAUAUGGGCUGUAACACAUGUCACCAUAUUGAUCACCAGACUUGGUCCAGCUGAUCUGGUUGGAUAGGCCAGGUGUCCACUUUAACUCUCCUACAUCCUGCCAAAGUUCCUCACUCAGAAUAACAGGAUGCAAGUACCCUGAUAUAGAUUCUUUCAUCAAGGUAUUAAAAAAAAAACAAAAACUGCUACAAUAUCCAAACAAAAUUAAGUUCCUGUAUCUCUUU
Unclassified non-coding RNA from Cavia porcellus (domestic guinea pig), 230 nucleotides. Its record names the gene 7SK. It matches the Rfam family "7SK RNA". Rfam says of the family: 7SK was discovered as an abundant small nuclear RNA in the mid-70s but a possible function has only recently been suggested. Two independent studies have found that 7SK RNA binds the CDK9/cyclin T complex (known as elongation factor P-TEFb). NCBI's taxonomy places the organism in Eukaryota, Metazoa, Chordata, Mammalia, Rodentia, Caviidae. The record is from Ensembl.